This 242-nucleotide long non-coding RNA is filed under the name Zostera marina. RNAcentral describes it as "long non-coding RNA (ZMAR_LNC001910)". The record is from RNAcentral. Lineage: Eukaryota; Viridiplantae; Streptophyta; Magnoliopsida; Alismatales; Zosteraceae.
ACACGAAGCUCAGAAUUCUGAGUGUAUUCAAUUACUUCCAAAUGAAAAAAAUGGUAAUUGAUCCAUGGUCGAUUCAGUAAUAGAUAAAUAGAAAUUUCUCUCCGUAACCACUUACAACCCAAGUGCCACCUGGAGAAAAAAAAGAAACCCAUUCUCGAUCUCCCCCCUCCUCUCUUGAGUCCACGUCUCUCCCCCUCCCCGUUGUCCCCUCUGAUACGUGAGUACCGGAGAGGAUGCUCUGA